Molecule: ribosomal RNA, 306 nt
Filed under: Habenaria stenopetala
Lineage: Eukaryota; Viridiplantae; Streptophyta; Magnoliopsida; Asparagales; Orchidaceae
Description: eukaryotic LSU rRNA
Source: RNAcentral
ACGCAAGUUGCGCCCGAGGCCAACAGGCUAAGGGCACGUCCGCCUGGGCGUCAAGCGUUGAUUCGCUCCUUUUGACAACACACAUUUUGCCCUAUGCGGUGUUGUUGUCUCGGAUGCGGAGCAUGGCCCGUCAUGCGUGGAUGUGUGGCGGGCUAAAGAGUGGGAUGUUUUUCUCUAGGCACUGAUCGAUUAAUGGGUGGGUUGGAAUGCAUCGAAUGUCCUCAUCAUCGUCAGGUUGCUUUGAGAAAGCGGUACRAUCCUAAUAUAAACCCAACUCAAGUGUCGGAAGGAAAUUGAAAUGCGACC